AUUGGAUUCAAAAUUUAAUAAAAAGAUUCAUCAACAAACUUGAUGGAUUAAAGUGGCUCAAUAUUUUGGUAUUUGUAAAGAAUAAUUUUAUCCUUUAAUUCAAAUUAUAAGAUGGCCUUCAUUAAGAAUUGCUUGUAAUUGAUUAUAUAAAGUGAAAGAAACAAAGAAUAAGAACAAAAGAAGAAAAAAAUACAAAACAAGUGAAAUGAAUGAAACCAAGUAUCUAUACACCUUGAAA
Molecule: long non-coding RNA, 238 nt
Filed under: Physcomitrium patens
Lineage: Eukaryota; Viridiplantae; Streptophyta; Bryopsida; Funariales; Funariaceae
Description: long non-coding RNA (PPAT_LNC004492)
Source: RNAcentral